UGGGGAAUUUUGGACAAUGGGGGAAACCCUGAUCCAGCCAUCCCGCGUGUGCGAUGAAGGCCUUCGGGUUGUAAAGCACUUUUUGGCAGGAAAGAAACGUCGCGGGGUUAAUACCCCGCGGAACUGACGGUACCUGCAGAAUAAGCACCGGCUAACUACGUGCCAGCAGCCGCGGUAAUACGUAGGGUGCAAGCGUUAAUCGGAAUUACUGGGCGUAAAGCGUGCGCAGGCGGUUCGGAAAGAAAGAUGUGAAAUCCCAGAGCUUAACUUUGGAACUGCAUUUUUAACUACCGGGCUAGAGUGUGUCAGAGGGAGGUGGAAUUCCGCGUGUAGCAGUGAAAUGCGUAGAUAUGCGGAGGAACACCGAUGGCGAAGGCAGCCUCCUGGGAUAACACUGACGCUCAUGCACGAAAGCGUGGGGAGCAAACAGGAUUAGAUACCCUGGUAGUCCACGCCCUAAACGAUGUCAACUAGCU
Molecule: ribosomal RNA, 476 nt
Filed under: uncultured bacterium
Lineage: Bacteria
Description: partial 16S ribosomal RNA
Rfam family: Bacterial small subunit ribosomal RNA
Source: RNAcentral